AGUGAACGCUGGCGGUAGGCCUAACACAUGCAAGUCGAACGGCAGCACAGUAAGAGCUUGCUCUUACGGGUGGCGAGUGGCGGACGAUUGAGGAAAACAUCGCUAUCUACUUUUUCGAGCGGGAUAACGUAGGGAAAAUUACGCCAAUACCGCAUACGACCAACGGGUGAAAGCAGGGGAUCUUCCGCCCUUGCACGAUCCAAUGAGCCGGUGUCGGAUUAGCUAGUUGGUGGGGUAAAGGCCCACCAAGGCGACGAUCCGUAGCUGGUCUGAGAGGAUGAUCAGCACCACGGGACCAGAGACACGGUCCAACCUCUUAGGGGAGGCAGCGGUGGGAAAUUUUGGCCAAUGGGCGAAAGCCUCAUCCAGCCAUCCCGCGUGGGUGAAAAGGGCCUUCGGUUUGAAAAGACCUUUUGUUGGGAAAGAAAAGAAGCAGGUUACAACCCCGCUGUUUUGACGGUACCAAAGAAUAAGCACCGGCUAACUUCGUG
RNAcentral lists this ribosomal RNA (491 nucleotides) under uncultured bacterium. RNAcentral describes it as "partial 16S ribosomal RNA". It matches the Rfam family "Bacterial small subunit ribosomal RNA", at positions 29 to 507 of the family's 1533-position model. The record is from RNAcentral.